This 226-nucleotide long non-coding RNA is filed under the name Solanum tuberosum (potato). Its description in RNAcentral is "long non-coding RNA (STUB_LNC006511)". The record is from RNAcentral. Lineage: Eukaryota; Viridiplantae; Streptophyta; Magnoliopsida; Solanales; Solanaceae.
CCAGAUAAAGCAACAUACAUAAUGCAACUGGAAAACAAAAAACAACAACUACAUAGAUAAGUAGUAAUGACAUUGUCAUAUAUUUUGAACCCACAAAAACUUACGGUCACUUGUUCAAGACGGAUUAACAUCGAAAAAAGCAAAACAUUAAGUUUCAUCAUGCCAUUGCAUAACAUUGGAAAACAAAAAACAAUAACUACAUAAUGCAACUACUUCUUCCCACCCC